CAGCCCUUUGUCGCUCCGAUUCGUC
RNAcentral lists this ribosomal RNA (25 nucleotides) under Solanum maglia. RNAcentral's name for it is "partial 25S ribosomal RNA". Lineage: Eukaryota; Viridiplantae; Streptophyta; Magnoliopsida; Solanales; Solanaceae. The record is from RNAcentral.